UACGUAGGGUGCAAGCGUUAGUCGGAAUUACUGGGCGUAAAGCGUGCGCAGGCGGUUAUGUAAGACAGUUGUGAAAUCCCCGGGCUCAACCUGGGAACUGCAUCUGUGACUGCAUAGCUAGAGUACGGUAGAGGGGGAUGGAAUUCCGCGUGUAGCAGUGAAAUGCGUAGAUAUGCGGAGGAACACCGAUGGCGAAGGCAAUCCCCUGGACCUGUACUGACGCUCAUGCACGAAAGCGUGGGGAGCAAACAGG
RNAcentral lists this ribosomal RNA (253 nucleotides) under uncultured bacterium. RNAcentral's name for it is "partial 16S ribosomal RNA". It matches the Rfam family "Bacterial small subunit ribosomal RNA", at positions 524 to 776 of the family's 1533-position model. The record is from RNAcentral.